GAUGAACGCUGGCGGCGUGCCUAAUACAUGCAAGUCGAGCGAACGGACGAGAAGCUUGCUUUUCUGAUGUUAGCGGCGGACGGGUGAGUAACACGUGGAUAACCUACCUAUAAGACUGGGAUAACUUCGGGAAACCGGAGCUAAUACCGGAUAAUAUUUUGAACCGCAUGGUUCAAAAGUGAAAGACGGUCUUGCUGUCACUUAUAGAUGGAUCCGCGCUGCAUUAGCUAGUUGGUAAGGUAACGGCUUACCAAGGCAACGAUGCAUAGCCGACCUGAGAGGGACGUCGCCCACACUGGAACUGAGACAGGGUCCCGACUCCUACGGGAGGCAGCAGUAGGGAAUCUUCCGCAAUGGGGGAAAGCGUGACGGAGCAAAGCCGCGUGAGUGAUGAAGGUCUUAGGAUCGUAAAACUCUGUAAUUAGGGAAGAACAUAUGUGUAAGUAACUGUGAACAUCUUGACGGUACCUAAUCAGAAAGCCACGGCUAACUCCGUG
This 497-nucleotide ribosomal RNA is filed under the name uncultured bacterium. Its description in RNAcentral is "partial 16S ribosomal RNA". It matches the Rfam family "Bacterial small subunit ribosomal RNA", at positions 28 to 507 of the family's 1533-position model. The record is from RNAcentral.